GGCAGGGUGGUCGAGUCUGGUUUAAGACGCUGGACUUAAGCUCCAGUUAGCAUGUACCCGCAUGCUACGCGGGUUCGAAGCUGACACGGGCGAAAAUCCCGUCCCUGCCG
RNAcentral lists this transfer RNA (110 nucleotides) under Candidatus Woesearchaeota archaeon. RNAcentral describes it as "tRNA-Leu". It matches the Rfam family "tRNA". From Rfam's summary of the family: Transfer RNA (tRNA) molecules are approximately 80 nucleotides in length. Their secondary structure includes four short double-helical elements and three loops (D, anti-codon, and T loops). Further hydrogen bonds mediate the characteristic L-shaped molecular structure. tRNAs have two regions of fundamental functional importance: the anti-codon, which is responsible for specific mRNA codon recognition, and the 3' end, to which the tRNAs corresponding amino acid is attached (by aminoacyl-tRNA synthetases). tRNAs cope with the degeneracy of the genetic code in two manners: having more than one tRNA (with a specific anti-codon) for a particular amino acid; and 'wobble' base-pairing, i.e. permitting non-standard base-pairing at the 3rd anti-codon position. The record is from RNAcentral. Lineage: Archaea; Nanobdellati; Candidatus Woesearchaeota.